UACGGAGGUCUCAAGCGUUGUUCGGAUUUACUGGGCGUAAAGGGCGCGUAGGCGGCGCGGUAAGUCACUUGUGAAAUCUCUGAGCUUAACUCAGAACGGCCAAGUGAUACUGCAGUGCUAGAGUGUGGAAGGGGCAAUCGGAAUUCUUGGUGUAGCGGUGAAAUGCGUAGAUAUCAAGAGGAACACCUGAGGUGAAGACGGGUUGCUGGGCCAACACUGACGCUGAUGCGCGAAAGCCAGGGGAGCAAACGGG
This 253-nucleotide ribosomal RNA is filed under the name uncultured bacterium. RNAcentral describes it as "partial 16S ribosomal RNA". It matches the Rfam family "Bacterial small subunit ribosomal RNA", at positions 524 to 776 of the family's 1533-position model. The record is from RNAcentral.